CUGGAGUACAGUGGCAUGAACAUAGCUCACUGCAGCCUUGACCUCCUGACUGAAGCAAUCCUUCUGCCUCAGCCUCCAGAGUAGCUGGGACGACAGGCAUGCACCACCACACCCUACUAAUCUUUUAAUUUUUUGUAGAGACAGGAUCUCCCUAUGUUGCCCAAGCUGGUCUCAAACUCCUGGACUCAAGCAAGCCUCCUACCUCGGCCUCCUGAAGUGUUGGGAUUACAGGCAUGAGCCACGGUGCACAGCAAGAGCUUUAACCUUAAUGACCAUUCAUUCUCUACCCCACAUUACCUACAACUGAUACAGAUUGGGUUUUUCUGGUACCUCUACCUGGAAGGAGAUGAGAGGGCAGAUCUUUCAACAUAAUAAUUCCCCAAAGAUCUACAAGAACCUAUUCAUAUUAUUAAGAUUAACCCUGUGAAGUGGGCAUUAUAAUGAUCCACAAUUUCCAUGAGGGAGUUGAAGCCCAAUGGAGUUGAGCAACUUGCUGAAGGUCACACAGCUCAUGAACAGAAUGAAGUGCAGAGGAGACAAGCACAUUUGCUUAAAUGGCACUGCUUGCUGGAGAUGGAGCAGGAGCUAGAAGCCAAGUCUCUGCUAUCAAGCCCCUGCUUUCUUGCUGCCACCCCCGCCCCACCCCUCUCCUACCCACAGUCCUCUCUGGCUGUGCUUUGCUGACCCUACACAUUCUUUGGGUUUCAUUCUGGAUCCUUCUAGGCUAGGUUAGCAGCCCCAACCCCAACCUUUGUGUCUUCCCCUGUGAAGCUGGUAUUGUAAAUAUAUUGCAACUAUCAAUUUCUUCAUCUAGGCCAGGUGAACUACUGGCUCAUGCCUGUAAUCCCAGCACUUUGGGAGGCCGAGGUAGGAGGAUGGUUUGAGGCCAGGAGUUUGAGACCAGUCUGGGCAGGAUAGUGAGACCCCACCUCUAAAAAAUAAAAAAAGAAAAUCAUCUUCAUCUAAGCCAUGAGCCACACACAACCAAGGACCGAAACUGUCUUGAUUGCCACCCAGCCUGGCACACAGCAAGUAGAAACACCAGAAGUGAGGCCUCAUAUAGGUGUGGUGUUCUCUCCCCUGGGGAUGGGGAGCAGGGCUGCUUUCCAGAACUGACUGGAAACCCUCUGCUCCUCCAUCCUCUGACGGCCCAAAACUCCCCCAGGCUCCUGGCAGCUCUAGGCAAUAUCAAGCCUCCUAGAGAGGAUGCCUGGAGCCACUAGCCUCUCAAGACUUGAGUUUCUGUUUUGUU
Molecule: long non-coding RNA, 1252 nt
Filed under: Homo sapiens (human)
Lineage: Eukaryota; Metazoa; Chordata; Mammalia; Primates; Hominidae
Description: HSALNT0002617
Source: RNAcentral